UGGGCAACCUGCCCCUCUCUCUGGGAUAACCCCCGGGAAACCGGAGCUAAUACCGGAUACUCCGGCUGGAUCGCAUGGUCCGGCCGGGAAAGGUCCGCCGGAGAGGGAUGGGCCCGCGGCCUAUCAGCUUGUUGGUGGGGUAGUGGCCUACCAAGGCGACGACGGGUAGCCGGCCUGAGAGGGUGACCGGCCACACUGGGACUGAGACACGGCCCAGACCCCUACGGGAGGCA
This 233-nucleotide ribosomal RNA is filed under the name uncultured bacterium. RNAcentral's name for it is "partial 16S ribosomal RNA". It matches the Rfam family "Bacterial small subunit ribosomal RNA", at positions 118 to 350 of the family's 1533-position model. The record is from RNAcentral.